GCGCAGCUAGCUGCGUGAAGUAAUGUGAAUUGCAGACACAUUGAACAUCGACAUUUCGAACGCAUAUUGCGGAAUCGGGUUCUUCCCGGUUCCAGGUUCUCUUGACGGCGUCAUU
Molecule: ribosomal RNA, 115 nt
Filed under: Trichodorus sparsus
Lineage: Eukaryota; Metazoa; Nematoda; Enoplea; Triplonchida; Trichodoridae
Description: partial 5.8S ribosomal RNA
Rfam family: 5.8S ribosomal RNA
About the family: 5.8S ribosomal RNA (5.8S rRNA) is a component of the large subunit of the eukaryotic ribosome. It is transcribed by RNA polymerase I as part of the 45S precursor that also contains 18S and 28S rRNA. Functionally, it is thought that 5.8S rRNA may be involved in ribosome translocation.
Source: RNAcentral